This 457-nucleotide ribosomal RNA is filed under the name Escherichia coli. RNAcentral's name for it is "bacterial SSU rRNA". It matches the Rfam family "Bacterial small subunit ribosomal RNA", at positions 1 to 452 of the family's 1533-position model. Lineage: Bacteria; Pseudomonadati; Pseudomonadota; Gammaproteobacteria; Enterobacterales; Enterobacteriaceae. The record is from RNAcentral.
UUAAAUUGAAGAGUUUGAUCAUGGCUCAGAUUGAACGCUGGCGGCAGGCCUAACACAUGCAAGUCGAACGGUAACAGGAAACAGCUUGCUGUUUCGCUGACGAGUGGCGGACGGGGGAGUAAUGUCUGGGAAACUGCCUGAUGGAGGGGGAUAACUACUGGAAACGGUAGCUAAUACCGCAUAACGUCGCAAGACCAAAGAGGGGGACCUUCGGGCCUCUUGCCAUCGGAUGUGCCCAGAUGGGAUUAGCUAGUAGGUGGGGUAACGGCUCACCUAGGCGACGAUCCCUAGCUGGUCUGAGAGGAUGACCAGCCACACUGGAACUGAGACACGGUCCAGACUCCUACGGGAGGCAGCAGUGGGGAAUAUUGCACAAUGGGCGCAAGCCUGAUGCAGCCAUGCCGCGUGUAUGAAGAAGGCCUUCGGGUUGUAAAGUACUUUCAGCGGGGAGGAAGGG